UGACGUGUGAACACUUGGUCCCCAGCUGGUGCCUUAGUCGUGGUGUUUUACCACUGCAACAGAAAGGAGUUAAUACAGGUGCAGAGGGAUGCACCUAGCAGCGUCAGUCAGCAGAGUUGUUCAGCUCCAACAGGCACGUCUUCACGUCGGGGCUGAGGAGGUGGCUGAACGGUAAGCGUGCAUGCCGCACAAGCACGAAGACUCCAAUCCCGUUCCUAGGAACGAUGUAAAGGGACAGUCUUAGACAACAAGAUUGGCUUUUCUGGGAAUGUGACCAAGAAACAGAGGCUGGCAGUGAAUGGUGGAACUGAGGAUCAAGGAUGGCUGCCUUGUUGGAGCAUGAAAAGAGAUGGUAGGGGAAAUGGCCAGAAAAGAAAGAUUAAAAAGCUGUGCUGGCUUGUACUUAGGUCAACUUGCCACAGGCUAGUCAUCUGAGAAGUAAGUACCUCAGUUGAGAAAAUGUCCCUACCAGAUUGGCCUGUGGGCAACCUGUGGUGUGUUUUCUUGAUUGAUGCUUGCUGUGGGUGGGCCCAGUUUACUGUGGGUGGUGCCAUCCCUGGCCUGCUGGUCCUGGAUGCUGUAGGAAAACAAGCUGAACAAGCCAUGAGGAGAAAGCCAAUACGCAGCACUUCUCUAUGACUUCUGCUUCAAGUCCUGUCUCCAGGUUCUUGCCCUGCUUGAGUUCCUGUCCUGCCUUCCUUGAUAAUAGACUGUCACCUGGACAUAUAAGAUGAAAUAAACCCUGUCCUCCUCAA
This is a long non-coding RNA of Peromyscus leucopus (white-footed mouse), 755 nucleotides long. RefSeq lists it as uncharacterized. The record is from RefSeq and is a predicted model, not a curated record. The transcript has 2 exons. Lineage: Eukaryota; Metazoa; Chordata; Mammalia; Rodentia; Cricetidae.